This 465-nucleotide ribosomal RNA is filed under the name Vreelandella stevensii. Its description in RNAcentral is "partial 16S ribosomal RNA". It matches the Rfam family "Bacterial small subunit ribosomal RNA", at positions 338 to 795 of the family's 1533-position model. The record is from RNAcentral. Lineage: Bacteria; Pseudomonadati; Pseudomonadota; Gammaproteobacteria; Oceanospirillales; Halomonadaceae.
CCUACGGGAGGCUGCAGUGGGGAAUAUUGGACAAUGGGGGGAACCCUGAUCCAGCCAUGCCGCGUGUGUGAAGAAGGCCCUCGGGUUGUAAAGCACUUUCAGUGAGGAAGAACGCCUGGUGGUUAAUACCCAUCAGGAAAGACAUCACUCACAGAAGAAGCACCGGCUAACUCCGUGCCAGCAGCCGCGGUAAUACGGAGGGUGCGAGCGUUAAUCGGAAUUACUGGGCGUAAAGCGCGCGUAGGUGGCUUGAUAAGCCGGUUGUGAAAGCCCCGGGCUCAACCUGGGAACGGCAUCCGGAACUGUCAAGCUAGAGUGCAGGAGAGGAAGGUAGAAUUCCCGGUGUAGCGGUGAAAUGCGUAGAGAACGGGAGGAAUACCAGUGGCGAAGGCGGCCUUCUGGACUGACACUGACACUGAGGUGCGAAAGCGUGGGUAGCAAACAGGAUUAGAUACCCUAGUAGUC